This 60-nucleotide small RNA is filed under the name Oryza sativa Japonica Group (Japanese rice). RNAcentral's name for it is "sRNA Os11g0549667". The record is from RNAcentral. Lineage: Eukaryota; Viridiplantae; Streptophyta; Magnoliopsida; Poales; Poaceae.
UAAUGGUAUAUUUUUAAACCAACAAAAUCUUAAUGGCAUAGAUCUAAUUAACCCUAUAUU